GGAUUGUGGCUCAGCGGUAGAGCACUCACCUAGCACGGGCUAGACCCGGGUUCGAUCCUCAGCACCA
RNAcentral lists this transfer RNA (67 nucleotides) under Marmota monax (woodchuck). RNAcentral describes it as "tRNA.Ala". Lineage: Eukaryota; Metazoa; Chordata; Mammalia; Rodentia; Sciuridae. The record is from RNAcentral.